Molecule: ribosomal RNA, 253 nt
Filed under: uncultured bacterium
Lineage: Bacteria
Description: partial 16S ribosomal RNA
Rfam family: Bacterial small subunit ribosomal RNA
Source: RNAcentral
UACGUAGGGUGCGAGCGUUAGUCGGAAUUACUGGGCGUAAAGCGUGCGCAGGCGGUUCGUUAUGUCCGUUGUGAAAGCCCCGGGCUCAACCUGGGAAUGGCAAUGGAAACUGGCGGGCUAGAGUGUGGCAGAGGGGGGUGGAAUUCCGCGUGUAGCAGUGAAAUGCGUAGAGAUGCGGAGGAACACCGAUGGCGAAGGCAGCCCCCUGGGCUAGCACUGACGCUCAGGCACGAAAGCGUGGGGAGCAAACAGG